This is a long non-coding RNA of Ailuropoda melanoleuca (giant panda), 512 nucleotides long. RefSeq lists it as uncharacterized. Lineage: Eukaryota; Metazoa; Chordata; Mammalia; Carnivora; Ursidae. The transcript is spliced from 3 exons. The record is from RefSeq and is a predicted model, not a curated record.
AGGUAAAUACCUGAAAAUAAGUAACAAUGAUAAUAGUGAAAGAGCAGUAAAGUUAAUAUACGCAGAACACUGGCUGGAGAACUAUUCCUUUAAAAAGAAACUACUGAUUAUACUGGGCUGCUCAGUUACACACAUUAUCUCCUUUGACCAGAAAUGACAUAGGCAUCAGGCAGAGCCAACCGGGAAGUGUUGAUCCCACUUUCUGGUGAUAGUCUUAGAGUAUCUACAACAUUCCAGAUGUCUGGUGACCACUAAACAUAAUUAUUUGUAUAUUCUAGUUGAUAUAGCUGAAGUAUUCUUGAUUGUCCCAAUAGCACAGUAUGAAAGCAAAGUGAGUCCGAGCAAUAAUGGGAUUUCACUUCAACAAAACCUUUGGAAACCAAUGACUAGAGAAGUAUACACAGAAGUCCCCCCUUCUCUGGGCUCUUACUUUCCGAGGUUUCAUCACCUGCAGUCAACUGGGGUCCAGGAGCAGGAGCAGACGACCAUCCUUCUGAAGUACUAUCAGAAGG